CAGAAUCCCGCCUAGACGUAACGAUACCGUAGCGCCGCGGAUCUUUGGUUGGCCCCGGAUAGCCGGCUUCGGUCGGUGAGCAGAGCCCCUCGUGACAGGGUUGGGGUGCGGCCGGACGGACGGUCGCCCCUCUCCUUCAUCGCAACGCAUGUUUGUGGAGAACCUGGUGCUAAAUCACUCGCAGACGACCUGAUUCUGGGUCAGGGUUUCGUACGUAGCAGAGCAGCUCCUUCGCUGCGAUCU
This 243-nucleotide ribosomal RNA is filed under the name Microchirus variegatus (thickback sole). Its description in RNAcentral is "partial 28S ribosomal RNA". Lineage: Eukaryota; Metazoa; Chordata; Actinopteri; Pleuronectiformes; Soleidae. The record is from RNAcentral.